Molecule: non-coding RNA, 1208 nt
Organism: Chiloscyllium plagiosum (whitespotted bambooshark)
Lineage: Eukaryota; Metazoa; Chordata; Chondrichthyes; Orectolobiformes; Hemiscylliidae
Source: RefSeq, a predicted model, not a curated record
GUGGUCCAAUAUAUUUGUUUAUAAGCAGCUCGUAUAAAACUGGCGAAAUUCCCCUCGAGAAACUGAUCUCUAUGGAGAAAUGAAAGCAAUACACGCAUGAAUGCGAAAUAAGUUGCAAUGUUCACUUAACGUUAAAGCCCUCACUUUAGCAGUUGGUUCAUAGGAACUAUGGAUUGGUGCUGAUAAUUACCAAGUUGAAUUCCCUUUUAACUACAUGUUGAAUGAUACUUGGAGCUUGUUCUCACGAAUUAGUUUCUGCUGUGACUUAGUGAGUAAUGACCGCCCCUACAGUCCGGGCAGAACUGUACAGAUCAUUUGCUUUCCCGUAAAUUGCAUUCUGUUAAACGCCAGGAGUUUCCGCUGUGUACUUCGAGAUCAACACUCCAAGUUGCUAUGAGGGAGCCACUUUAUCGGGAGUCCAGUACACCACAAGCAAUUACUGGCCAAACCCGUGUGGUGCUUUUGUCAGGAGAGUGAGCACUGAUUUUCUCAACCCUGGUACCUGUUGUGGGAAAUGUGGUAUUUAAGCAAUGAAGCAUUGUCGGUAAAUAUCGCUAGCCCACGUACAUUUUCUGGCACUUGCGUCUGUUUUACGCAACCAUUUCUCUUCAAAACGGAAGUCCCUCCCUUGUGUCGCUUGUAUUAGUGCGAACCUUCUGUCGGGCCCUAGCGCCUCCUGUUAUUGUCACCCAAAGAAACGUUUACUUUCCCACCACAGCAUAGCACAGCUAACAAAGGGGCCAACAUUUGUCCACAGGACACAUCACAACAACAUUAUUUUAAAACAGCUUGUUCAGGAAACGUAAACUAAGUACACUGAAUAAAUAUUGAAUAAAAACAUUUGGUGAGUGCAUUAUCGUGUUUCCUGAAAUUCCUAAUUAUUAUACACAAGUUAACAUAGGUUGUGAAAAGAUUAUUAUGCAAGCAAUGCGAACGUGUUAUCGAUAUUUAUAUUUAACGGUCCAUUAUCUUGUGUCAAACGUUGGUAAGGUCGCAAAACGUUUUACUUUGAAGAAGAACAAUCAUAAUAAUGGCGAGUUUUGACCUGGAACCAGCAUGCUUAAACAGUUACAACCGUCCUCUUUCAUUGACCCAAGUGGUUAAAUGCAGGCUCAGGAAAAGUUCCCUCGCAAUUUAAUGGAGCAGAGGCAUUACCAUUAAUUAAUGUACUGAGAAUGUAUAAAAUAAAACCACCUUUUUAAAAAAAA